GACUCCUGGCUCAGGACGAACGCUGGCGGCGUGCCUAAUACAUGCAAGUCGAACGAGAGCGACCGGUGCUUGCACUGGUCAAUCUAGUGGCGAACGGGUGAGUAACACGUGGGUAACCUGCCCAUCAGAGGGGGAUAACAUUCGGAAACGGAUGCUAAAACCGCAUAGGUUCUUGAGUCGCAUGACCCGAGAAGGAAAAGAGGCUUCGGCUUCUGCUGAUGGAUGGACCCGCGGUGCA
RNAcentral lists this ribosomal RNA (238 nucleotides) under uncultured bacterium. RNAcentral's name for it is "partial 16S ribosomal RNA". It matches the Rfam family "Bacterial small subunit ribosomal RNA", at positions 14 to 240 of the family's 1533-position model. The record is from RNAcentral.